RNAcentral lists this ribosomal RNA (468 nucleotides) under uncultured bacterium. RNAcentral's name for it is "partial 16S ribosomal RNA". It matches the Rfam family "Bacterial small subunit ribosomal RNA", at positions 28 to 507 of the family's 1533-position model. The record is from RNAcentral.
GACGAACGCUGGCGGCGUGCUUAACACAUGCAAGUCGAACGGAAAGGCCCUGCUUUUGUGGGGUGCUCGAGUGGCGAACGGGUGAGUAACACGUGAGUAACCUGCCCUUGACUUUGGGAUAACUUCAGGAAACUGGGGCUAAUACCGGAUAGGAGCUCCUGCUGCAUGGUGGGGGUUGGAAAGUUUCGGCGGUUGGGGAUGGACUCGCGGCUUAUCAGCUUGGUGGUGGGGUAGUGGCUUACCAAGGCUUUGACGGGUAGCCGGCCUGAGAGGGUGACCGGCCAAAUUGGGACUGAGAUACGGCCCAGACUCCUACGGGAGGCAGCAGUGGGGAAUAUUGCAAAAUGGGCGGAAGCCUGAUGCAGCAACGCCGCGUGCGGGAUGACGGCCUUCGGGUUGUAAACCGCUUUCGCCUGUGACGAAGCGUGAGUGACGGUAAUGGGUAAAGAAGCACCGGCUAACUACGUG